This 497-nucleotide ribosomal RNA is filed under the name uncultured bacterium. RNAcentral's name for it is "partial 16S ribosomal RNA". It matches the Rfam family "Bacterial small subunit ribosomal RNA", at positions 28 to 507 of the family's 1533-position model. The record is from RNAcentral.
GAUGAACGCUGGCGGCGUGCCUAAUACAUGCAAGUCGAGCGAACAGACGAGGAGCUUGCCCCUCUGACGUUAGCGGCGGACGGGUGAGUAACACGUGGAUAACCUACCUAUAAGACUGGGAUAACUUCGGGAAACCGGAGCUAAUACCGGAUAAUAUAUUGAACCGCAUGGUUCAAUAGUGAAAGACGGUUUUGCUGUCACUUAUAGAUGGAUCCGCGCCGCAUUAGCUAGUUGGUAAGGUAACGGCUUACCAAGGCAACGAUGCGUAGCCGACCUGAGAGGGUGAUCGGCCACACUGGAACGGAGACACGGUCCAGACUCCUACGGGAGGCAGCAGUAGGGAAUCUUCCGCAAUGGGCGAAAGCCUGACGGAGCAACGCCGCGUGAGUGAUGAAGGUCUUCGGAUCGUAAAACUCUGUUAUUAGGGAAGAACAAAUGUGUAAGUAACUAUGCACGUCUUGACGGUACCUAAUCAGAAAGCCACGGCUAACUACGUG